UUUUGUGCGUGUAAUAUCCUCAAUUCGGUCCCCAAAAACAGCUACACAAUGUCUCUCCAAUUUUCUGCCCUAGCCACCGACUUGUAAAAAAAGAAUAAUCCCCAAAAGGAAUUCCAAUUUUCUUUCCCAAGCAGCCUCUGUGAUUCAGUUUGGAGGGCUACACUUGCCUAUAAUUCACCUUGCAAAUACUGGUCUCUUAAACCAAUUUUCAACAUCUUUUAGACAUCCUGUGUAAUCCAAACAUACAAGUUAGAGCAUGGUGAAAAUCGACACAGAACAACCCAUUUGUCGAAAAAUGCGAAUACUAAAUUUGGGCAUGAUAAAAUUGGUAUAUUAUGUUGAAAUUGAUGAGGACCCAUUGUUGUAAUAGUUGGUAUGCUGGAAUGGAUGGUCUGCAACAAUGGGACCAAUUACCAACGCCGGAAUUGAUGGAAGAAGCAAACUGGUUUCUCUAACUAGUUAAGAGUUUCUUCUAAGUUUUGGAUGGUUAUAGGAUCUGUUUGUGUAAUUGAUUGAUGGGGAAG
This 524-nucleotide long non-coding RNA is filed under the name Olea europaea (common olive). RNAcentral's name for it is "long non-coding RNA (OEUR_LNC000988)". Lineage: Eukaryota; Viridiplantae; Streptophyta; Magnoliopsida; Lamiales; Oleaceae. The record is from RNAcentral.